This 1001-nucleotide long non-coding RNA is filed under the name Apteryx rowi (Okarito brown kiwi). RNAcentral's name for it is "lncRNA (ENSARWG00000011232.1)". The record is from RNAcentral. Lineage: Eukaryota; Metazoa; Chordata; Aves; Apterygiformes; Apterygidae.
NNNNNNNNNNNNNNNNNNNNNNNNNNNNNNNNNNNNNNNNGAUGGAGAUGUGGGGCCUGGGGAUGGGAAUGUCAUGGGGACGGGGAUGUCAUGGGGACGUGGGGUCUGGGGACGGGGACGUGAUGAAGAUGUGGGGCCUGGGGAUGGGGACAUCAUGGAGAUGUGAGGCCUGGGGAUGGGGACACGAUGGAGAUGUAGGGUCUGGGGAUGGGAACGUCAUGGGGAUGGGGAUGCCGUGGGGUUGUGGGGCCUGGGGAUGGGGACGUCAUGGGGAUGUGGGGUCUGGGGACAUCCUGGAGACAGGGGUGGCCCUGGGGACAAGGGUGCCAUUGGGACGUGGGUCCUGCGGACGGGGACAUGAUGGAGAUACGGGGCCUGGGGAUGGUGGUGGCCCUGGGGACAGGGGUGCCAUGGAGAUGUGGGGCCUGGGGACAGGGGUGGCCUGGGGAUGACGGGGGGACGGCGGAGGGGGACAGGGCCGUGGCCACCUCCGCUGGGGGCAAGGGUCAGGGGUCAGCGUCCCCUGGUGUCACCGUCCCUGUGGUUUGGGGAACCCCAGGGUGUGAUGGGGCCACUGCAGGGGUGACACCGGGGACRCCGGUGGGGCCCAGGGUCAGGGGUCAGAGGUCGGGAGGGUCAGGGGUCACUAGGAGCCAGGGUCAGAGGGCACUAGGUGGCACAGAAAUGGCAGCAGGGAAAAGUCAGAGGUCAGGGGUCACGGCAGGGGUCAGGCUGGGGGGGGGCGUCCCACAGUCGGGGGUCCCCCCCCCCGGGAAAGGGACCCAGGCGUCCGGGGCGGCACGUGACCAACCCCCCCACCGCCGACAGCGCAUGCGCGCCCGCUCCCUCCCCGCGCUCAUCGACAGCGCAUGCGCGCCCGCCCCUCCCCUCCGUCCCCCGCCUCACGCACGCGCAGAGGCGCUGAGUACGGCGGCCGCGCAGGGACACGCCGAGCCAAGAUGGCGGCGGCGGCGGCCGGCGCCUCUUCCUCCGCGGCGGGG